UUAAAGUUGUGGGUAGAGCCUGUUGUUGACUAAGGGCUUGUAUUAUUGAAGAGAUUCGUGACGUUAAGAAAACUCUCAAAAAUGCCUUGACUCCUCGAUGAAGAGCUCCAGAGAGCAUCACAGCUGGAAGAGUGGGGCUACCCAUUCCUGUUGGAGUUUGGAUGAUGCUAUUGUGAUCCCACAGAUGCCAGACAUGGACUUCAAGAUGAGUACAACCAUGCACCACACUAUGGGAACAUCUGAUCUACUCCAGGCUCAACUGGUGAUGGAAGUCUUUCAAAAUAUUGAUGGGUGUGUUGACAUGUGCUUGUAAUCCCAACACUUGGGAGCCAGAGUGGGAGAACCAGGAGUUCACGGCCCCCUAUCUAUUCUUUGGAAGCCAUCUCAUGGAGGAGGAGGACCUGCCAGUCUUCUCAUGGAGGAAGACGCUUCCUUUGACUCGUGAAAAAAAAUCUAUAUCUGAAGUGGAUGUGGGAAGAUGGGCCCCCUUUGGAAACUUAUUGGGAUUCAGGCCAUUGUGUAAACAAACUGACGCAUCUUAUAGUUUGUUAGCUAGACUGGCAACUUCUGUAGCAGCCUAGAGCCAUUACUGGGCUCUUGUUUUUUUU
Molecule: long non-coding RNA, 608 nt
Organism: Alexandromys fortis (reed vole)
Lineage: Eukaryota; Metazoa; Chordata; Mammalia; Rodentia; Cricetidae
Exons: 3
Source: RefSeq, a predicted model, not a curated record